RNAcentral lists this ribosomal RNA (310 nucleotides) under uncultured Thalassomonas sp. RNAcentral's name for it is "bacterial SSU rRNA". It matches the Rfam family "Bacterial small subunit ribosomal RNA", at positions 30 to 334 of the family's 1533-position model. Lineage: Bacteria; Pseudomonadati; Pseudomonadota; Gammaproteobacteria; Alteromonadales; Colwelliaceae. The record is from RNAcentral.
AUUGAACGCUGGCGGCAGGCUUAACACAUGCAAGUCGAGCGGAAACGAGAAUAGCUUGCUAUUCGGCGUCGAGCGGCGGACGGGUGAGUAAUGCUUGGGAAUAUGCCUUAAGGUGGGGGACAACAGUUGGAAACGACUGCUAAUACCGCAUAAUGUCUUCGGACCAAAGGAGGGGAUUCUUCGGAACCUUUCGCCUAAAGAGUAGCCCAAGUGAGAUUAGCUAGUUGGUAAGGUAAAGGCUUACCAAGGCGACGAUCUCUAGCUGGUUUGAGAGGAUGAUCAGCCACACUGGGACUGAGACACGGCCCAG